GACGAACGCUGGCGGCGUGCCUAAUACAUGCAAGUCGAACGCAGUGGGGACGGGUGAGUAACACGUGGGUAACCUCCCAUCAGAGGGGAUACCACUUGGAAACAGGUGCUAAACCGAUAUUGAUGGCUGGACCCGCGGUGCAUGAGCUAGUUGGUGAGGUAACGGCUCACCAAGGCCACGAUGCAUAGCCGACCGGAGAGGGUGAUCGGCCACAGUGGGACGGGUCCACGGCCCAGCCUCCUCCGGGAGGCAGCAUUAGGUAAGCUUGGGCAAUGGACGAAAGUCUGACCGAGCAACGCCGCGUGAGUGAAGAAGGUUUUCGGAUCGUAAAACUCUGUUGUUAGAGAAGCGGUAUCUAACCAGAAAGCCACGGCUAACUACGGGCCAGCAGCCGCGGUAAUAC
RNAcentral lists this ribosomal RNA (403 nucleotides) under uncultured bacterium. RNAcentral describes it as "partial 16S ribosomal RNA". It matches the Rfam family "Bacterial small subunit ribosomal RNA", at positions 28 to 526 of the family's 1533-position model. The record is from RNAcentral.